This 292-nucleotide long non-coding RNA is filed under the name Elaeis guineensis (African oil palm). RNAcentral describes it as "long non-coding RNA (EGUI_LNC031806)". The record is from RNAcentral. Lineage: Eukaryota; Viridiplantae; Streptophyta; Magnoliopsida; Arecales; Arecaceae.
GCGUGAUGCCAAACUCUAUAGAAGAGAGGGAUGAAUAUCUUCUUCAAAGAGGAGGGAGAAGAAUACUUGAGAUUUGAUCUUAAGACCUUGAAACAGCCCACACACCACCACAAAAGGAGGGAGGAUGCUAAGAGGAGAGAGACGCCCGGUGAUAGGUGACGCCCAAGAGAGAGGGGACGCCCACACCAAAGGAUCUCCAUGCCAAGCCUAGGAUUGAUUCCUUCUUUCUCUUUUCCACACCCCAACUUAUAUAGAUAAGAGGUCUUAGAUUAAAUCAAACUCCUUUGGAUGC